This 297-nucleotide ribosomal RNA is filed under the name Triticum aestivum (bread wheat). Its description in RNAcentral is "partial small subunit ribosomal RNA". The record is from RNAcentral. Lineage: Eukaryota; Viridiplantae; Streptophyta; Magnoliopsida; Poales; Poaceae.
AUGGCUCCUACUGAGGCCGAGGCUGAUGUAGAGGAGGGAGAAGAGAAGAAGAAGAGGGAAAGGAAAGCAGCCAAAGCUGCUUUCACGUGGAUUCAAACUCACUUUGCGACAUGCCCUCCGGAUGCCACUGAUGAUGUGAUCCAGACACAUGCUCGUGUCUACAUGUGGUAUGUUGUGUCGAGGACUUUGUUUCCUGACUCCACUGGCAAGAACGCCCCAUGGAUGUGGCUGAAGGCGUUGACCGUCUUCGAUAGCAAAUGGAGCUGGGGUUCAGCGACUCUUGCCUACUUGUAUUGA